GUCUACGGCCAUACCAUCCUGAACGCGCCCAAUCUCGUCUGAUCUCGGAAGCUAAGCAGGGUCGGGCCUGGUUAGUACUUGGAUGGGAGAGUAUUUCUCAACUUUAAUAAUAGUUGCCA
RNAcentral lists this ribosomal RNA (119 nucleotides) under Neogale vison (American mink). Lineage: Eukaryota; Metazoa; Chordata; Mammalia; Carnivora; Mustelidae. The record is from RNAcentral.